Long non-coding RNA from Helianthus annuus (common sunflower), 575 nucleotides. RefSeq lists it as uncharacterized. NCBI's taxonomy places the organism in Eukaryota, Viridiplantae, Streptophyta, Magnoliopsida, Asterales, Asteraceae. The record is from RefSeq and is a predicted model, not a curated record. The transcript is spliced from 3 exons.
AAAUGCUGUGAUAUGGUACCUCAAGAAAUAAACAACUAGGCUAAUUAACCUACUUAGAUGUAUGGUUAAAACUAUUAAAAGAUGGAAUGUAAUAAAAUGUUUAACAAAGCAAACAAGGGAACAAACUUGAGGGACCAAAGAUGAACAAGGGGGAAAGUUAUGUCUUAAGUAACAAACACACCCACACAAGCACACACACAUUUCGUGUGUUCUAGAACGAUCAGGGGGAACUCCCCAUGAACCAAACCCUAGUUCUAACACAAUCAUCAAAUUAAGGAGUCAAAUGAAGCUCAAAUUCACAACCAAACAUGAAUUAAGGAUCACCUACUCAAGGGGAUCAUGAGGAAUCAUGUCGAGACGGAAUCAAGCACGGAUGGAUAAUGGGUCAAGAAGUGGCGAGGAAACGAAUAUGAACACGGAUGCAUGAGGUAGUACCAGUCAUGAGGAUAUCCAAGGAUUGGAGAUCGAAGAUCGAGUCACUAGAGAGAUUGUACGGAAACGUUGAUGUACAUAAUGUAGUAAACAUAAGCUAUGUUUUUAACUAGUAAAUAAGAGGAUGGCGGAUUUAUGAGAAA